AGAGAGGUGGCUCAGUAGUUAGAGCACUGGCUUCUUCCAGAGGACCUGAGUUCAAUUCCCAGCACCCCUG
Molecule: non-coding RNA, 70 nt
Organism: Mesocricetus auratus (golden hamster)
Lineage: Eukaryota; Metazoa; Chordata; Mammalia; Rodentia; Cricetidae
Source: Rfam